RNAcentral lists this non-coding RNA (167 nucleotides) under uncultured Sporosarcina sp. The record is from RNAcentral. Lineage: Bacteria; Bacillati; Bacillota; Bacilli; Caryophanales; Caryophanaceae.
UGAAGGUGCCCCGCCGUCAACGCCGGGGUUAAAAGGGAAGCCGGUUCAAUGCCGGCGCGGUCCCGCCACUGUAUGUGCAAAGCAAGCCGCAAAUCGCCACUGGGAAAAUCCCGGGAAGGCGCGGCGAGCAUCAACUCAUUGCACGAGCCAGGAGACCUGCCUUCAUG